RNAcentral lists this long non-coding RNA (1758 nucleotides) under Lupinus mutabilis. Its description in RNAcentral is "partial ncRNA". The record is from RNAcentral. Lineage: Eukaryota; Viridiplantae; Streptophyta; Magnoliopsida; Fabales; Fabaceae.
GAGCAAGCCAAUUCAGGAAAUGAUAGCAAAGUUGUGCAUCUCCUCCAACAAUAUGAGUAGAAAAUAAAAUGGGUUUGUUACUUUGAAUUGGGUGGGGCCGGUCCAGAGCAAUUAUGGAAUUAGCAGCCCAGAGGCUGUUUCCCUUUCCCCUCAAAAGUUCAUACCUCACCCAACACAGAUCUCACACUCUCAUAAUCGGUCUGCAAUCAUGAAGCGUGGUACCAGUGGUCUUGAAUCAUUCUCUACACAAAUUGGAGAUGUUUCAGCUGCCUCUUCAUUCCAUCUUCCCAAUUCAAGCGACAAAGUAAGAUCCAUGGAUUCACAGGGGCAGACAACUUCUUUGCAGCGACUUCAGAAUGUGGAGAAGAGAAUUGUGAAGGUUUUGGAACUUGCGGGAGGAGUGAUGGAUGAGCUUGCAAGCCCAGUAGGUCCUAGAAAAGAGUUGGUGCAGAACCACUGCCUGGAAUUCAUGCAAUUAAUAAAGGACAUUCAGGUGGCUUUGCGCGAUGAAAUCAAAAGUGCUUCUGAGUAUCGCCCCUUUGAGAAGUGCGACUAUGGUCCAAGAAUCGCCAAUGAGAUCUCUUUCAACAAACUCCAAUAUGUCCUUUCUCAAUUAGAUGCUAUCAAUCAAACUAUACAUCAAUCAAAUUGAUGUCUGUGCCGAUAAUGUACCAAUUUUACACAUUGUCUCCACCAUUCAUGUUUCAUCAUCAUCAUCAUCAUUAACUCAUUCAUUUUCCAAAGGAGCUAUAUAAUCCAAUUCAGAAGCACAAACUGCUGAUUGUUAUAUUUCAACUUUUGCAUCCAUGCCACUUGAUAUAUUAUUUAUGCUGUCCUAUAUGUUUUCAAGUUCCAUGAUUAUUACGGGGUGGUGUUCUAUUAUCAAUAUUUGAUUAUGCAUUUCCGUCCCUGAAGUUUUUCGGGGUGAACAAAUUUGUCCCUAAUAAAAUUUAAUUGACAAAUAGGUCCCAACAAAUCUAUCGAAGAGACAAAAUCGUCCCUACCGUUAAGUUGGGCCGUUAACUUCUACGCACUGCUAACGUGACACAAUCUAGGCAGGCUGUGACGUUGAUUUUUAUUUUUUAAAAUUUUCUUUUAUGAAAUGACGUAAAAAAAAUUAAAAUAAAAAGAAUUAAAAUUAAAAUUUAUUUCAAGAUGAGGUUCAUCUUCCCCUUCCUCUCAUCUCUAUUGGCUACUAUGAGAAGAUGAGGUUCAUCUUUGCCAGAAAGCAGGAACAACACCAGAUAUUUAUUACACCUAAGUCCUAACACUUGCAUCUCUGGGUUAGUUAUCUGCAUGACACUUCUUUGUUGGUUGUUGCAUUCAGAAGGGCUUCAGAGAGAUGAGGGGAGUUUAUUGUGUUCAUCGUCGAUAUGAGAGAAGCCAUUGAUGAUGCAGGAAAAAAUAAAAGAAAUCUAAACAAAAAAAUGACCUGACAUGUAAUGGCCGCAUAUCAUGCCUCAUCACAUAUCCACAUCACCCAACUACAUGCCAAGUGGAUAGUCUGUUAAAUUUAACAAUAAAAACUAAUGGCAUGUACUAAUUUGUUAUGUGUCUGAAUUUGUUGGGAAGUUUUUAUUAAUUAAAAUUUGUUAAGGACGAAUUUAUUCACCGCAGAAAAGAUUAGGGAUCGAAAUGGGUAAUCACUUUAUUAUUUAUACCGUCAUAUAUUGUAUGGUGUUCUAUUAUUACCAAUAUUAUUCUGUAUGGUGUUCUAUUAUUACCAAUAUUAUUCUGUAUGGUGUUCUAUUAUUACCA